AGAGUUUGAUCAUGGCUCAGAUUGAACGCUGGCGGCAUGCCUCAUACAUGCAAGUCGGACGGUAACAUACACUUCGGUGUGAUGACGAGUGGCGGACGGGUGAGUAAUGCAUAAGAAUCUGCCUAUUAGUGGGGGACAACGUGUGGAAACGCAUGCUAAUACCGCAUACAUCCUACGGGGAAAAGGUUGCCUCUUCAUGAACGCAAUCGCUAAUAGAUGAGCUUAUGUCAGAUUAGCUAGUUGGUAGGGUAAGAGCUUACCAAGGCGACGAUCUGUAGCCGGCCUGAGAGGGUGAACGGCCACACUGGGACUGAGACACGGCCCAGACUCCUACGGGAGGCAGCAGUAGGGAAUAUUGGACAAUGGGGGCAACCCUGAUCCAGCAAUGCCGCGUGUGUGAAGAAGGCCUGCGGGUUGUAAAGCACUUUCAGUAGGGAGGAAAUGCUUAAAGUUAAUAGCUUUAAGAGUUGACGUUACCUACAGAAGAAGCACCGGCUAACUCUGUGCCAGCAGCCGCGGUAAUACAGAGGGUGCGAGCGUUAAUCGGAAUUACUGGGCGUAAAGGGUACGUAGGCGGCUCCUUAAGUCUGAUGUGAAAUCCCCGUGCUUAACAUGGGAAUUGCAUUAGAUACUGGGUAGCUAGAGUAUAGUAGAGGAGAGUGGAAUUUCUAGUGUAGCGGUGAAAUGCGUAGAUAUU
This 697-nucleotide ribosomal RNA is filed under the name uncultured bacterium. RNAcentral's name for it is "bacterial SSU rRNA". It matches the Rfam family "Bacterial small subunit ribosomal RNA", at positions 8 to 698 of the family's 1533-position model. The record is from RNAcentral.